RNAcentral lists this long non-coding RNA (628 nucleotides) under Phoenix dactylifera (date palm). RNAcentral's name for it is "long non-coding RNA (PDAC_LNC012078)". Lineage: Eukaryota; Viridiplantae; Streptophyta; Magnoliopsida; Arecales; Arecaceae. The record is from RNAcentral.
UUCAAGGGAUAUUCGGAGAUUAGUUGAAUCCAACUCAAGAACAAAUUGUCAGAUUUUCCCUCUAAAAACCAAAAAUUUCAGUUCAAAAACUUCAAUGCAUUAAAAGGAAAUUCAGAGAAUCAAAACAAAGUUGAAUGCAUAUGUUGAGGGGGAGAAUCUGAAUUUUUAAGAAAGAUAAAUCAUUAAAUAUAUAUAAGCCAAACAAUUGAUUGUAUGAUAUGAAGGCUUAUAUAAUUCCAAAUGAAAGGGGGAGCUUUAAUUCCAAAAUUUAUUGUUUCACACCUUUCAAGAUUGGAUAAAUCAAAUAACCAGACACUUGAAUUCAUUUAUGGAUUUUAUUUCCUUGUUUAUUGAGCAAUUCACUUUACAUAUACUCAAUGUUUUGUCAUCAUCAAAAAGGGGGAGAUUGUGGAGUGAUUGAUCAUAAUCCUAUUUGAUUUUGAUGAGCUCAAAGCAUCUGAGUAUAUCUCUUGUUUACUAAUGAAUUCAAUUGAGUGUUUCAGUGAAAAUCUUGUCUAAAGUGUUUCUAGACUUGGUUCAUAAUAUUUUGGAUAAGUUAAGAAGUCAGUUUGAACCAAAGUCUGAGACUCGAGUCGACUCCGGAGUAUUACGAGUCGACUCCAAGCGU